UACGGAGGGGGCUAGCGUUGUUCGGAAUUACUGGGCGUAAAGCGCACGUAGGCGGCUUUGUAAGUUAGAGGUGAAAGCCCGGGGCUCAACUCCGGAAUUGCCUUUAAGACUGCAUCGCUUGUAUUGUGGAGAGGUAAGUGGAAUUCCGAGUGUAGAGGUGAAAUUCGUAGAUAUUCGGAAGAACACCAGUGGCGAAGGCGACUUACUGGACACAUAUUGACGCUGAGGUGCGAAAGCGUGGGGAGCAAACAGG
This 253-nucleotide ribosomal RNA is filed under the name uncultured bacterium. RNAcentral's name for it is "partial 16S ribosomal RNA". It matches the Rfam family "Bacterial small subunit ribosomal RNA", at positions 524 to 776 of the family's 1533-position model. The record is from RNAcentral.